Molecule: non-coding RNA, 492 nt
Filed under: Blumeria hordei DH14
Lineage: Eukaryota; Fungi; Ascomycota; Leotiomycetes; Helotiales; Erysiphaceae
Description: Blumeria graminis f. sp. hordei DH14 Eukaryotic small subunit ribosomal RNA
Rfam family: Eukaryotic small subunit ribosomal RNA
Source: Rfam by way of RNAcentral
UACGUGGUUGAUUCUGCCAGUAGUCAUAUGCUUGUCUCAAAGAUUAAGCCAUGCAUGUCUAAGUAUAAGCAAUUUAUACCGUGAAACUGCGAAUGGCUCAUUAAAUCAGUUAUCGUUUAUUUGAUAGUACCUUACUACUUGGAUAACCGUGGUAAUUCUAGAGCUAAUACAUGCUAAAAGCCCCGACUUCGGAAGGGGUGUAUUUAUUAGAUAAAAAACCAAUGCCCUCCGGGGCUCCUUGGUGAUUCAUAAUAACUUAACGAAUCGCAUGGCCUUGUGCCGGCGAUGGUUCAUUCAAAUUUCUGCCCUAUCAACUUUCGAUGGUAGUAUAUGGGACUACCAUGGUUUCAACGGGUAACGGGGAAUUAGGGUUCUAUUCCGGAGAGGGAGCCUGAGAAACGGCUACCACAUCCAAGGAAGGCAGCAGGCGCGCAAAUUACCCAAUCCCGACACGGGGAGGUAGUGACAAUAAAUACUGAUACAGGGGCUCUU